AGGUAGCUCGUCGGGCUCAUAACCCGAAGGUCACUGGUUCGAGUCCAGUUCCCGCUA
Molecule: transfer RNA, 57 nt
Filed under: Flavobacterium sp. Leaf359
Lineage: Bacteria; Pseudomonadati; Bacteroidota; Flavobacteriia; Flavobacteriales; Flavobacteriaceae
Description: tRNA-Ser
Rfam family: tRNA
About the family: Transfer RNA (tRNA) molecules are approximately 80 nucleotides in length. Their secondary structure includes four short double-helical elements and three loops (D, anti-codon, and T loops).
Source: RNAcentral